RNAcentral lists this unclassified non-coding RNA (2052 nucleotides) under Limulus polyphemus (Atlantic horseshoe crab). Its description in RNAcentral is "spore coat protein G-like, transcript variant X3". The record is from RNAcentral. Lineage: Eukaryota; Metazoa; Arthropoda; Merostomata; Xiphosura; Limulidae.
CAUAUUUAUUUCUGAUUGCUCUCUUCUAGCCUACGUUAUCUGUGCGUAUUCAUUUUAACCUCGUCUCUCUCUCCAGCUUUAUGUUCUUAUUUGAGAAUUUCUUUGCUAUGGAAAGGUAAAAAAAAAAAAACAGCAGUAAAGCUCGUCUGAUACUCUCAUCCAACAUACCAAGUCUAGUACGGUUGCGUCGAUACUAGCGUGGGCCAAGAGACCUUCGGUGGUUGGCGAAUCGAUGUCUGCGUGCGCUUUACCCCAAUUCUGACGCGUGCGAGAUACGUUGUCAAAUCCUGCGCGAGUGUGCCGUAUUAGCAUAAUAGUAAAGUUGCUAUGGCAACCAUUAUGUCAAACUAACGUGCACAUAAGCUAAAGACGUGCUGACCUCUGUGGAGAACACGAUUCGGAAGCGAAGCCAGCAAGUCUGGUGGUUGUCUACCGAAAUCUCUAUUCACUGGUAGAAGAAGUGUACUAUUUAUACUAGCCUCUUCUAAACUUCGUUACAUUAUCGCAUAUAACUGAAUUCAGACUGUUAAAGAGAUGCAGAAGUCCACUUAUCUUUACUCAGUUUCUAUCAGUUCAUCGAUUUGGUGUUGUUCUCUCGUCUAUCCCACACAUCAGGCUGGGCUGGUGGAGACAGACUGUCUGAAAAACAAACAGACAGAUGAGAAACGAAGCAAUUCUGCUUUUGAAGGAAGAGAACAGGAAGAGAAACUAUAGAAAUCACUUGAAGAACGAGAACGGGAAGAGAAGCUAUAGAAGUAACUUGAAGAAAGAGAACGGGAAGAGAAGCUAUAGAAAUAACUUGAAGAAAGAGAACGGGAAGAGAAGCUAUAGAAAUCACUUGAAGAAAGAGAACGGAAAGAGAAGCUAUAGAAAUCACUUGAAGAAAGAGAACGGGAAGAGAAGCUAUAGAAAUCACUUGAAGAAAGAGAACGGGAAGAGAAGCUAUAGAAAUCACUUGAAGAAAGAGAACGGGAAGAGAAGCUAUAGAAAUCAUUUGAAGAAAGAGAACGGGAAGAGAAGCUAUAGAAAUCACGAACUUUGCUUAACCUGUCCUCUUUACAGACCUUCAAAACUACAAGCACUAUUAAAAGGCUUCGCAAAUCUUAAAAUUCAGAAGGCAUUAUAGUUGUCUGGCUCACAGUGUGUGAUGGCGAAGACGGAAAACCACAUUGAUUGGACAACCUGGCUCAGCAGUCCCAUCUAGUGUUGAGCUUACUGCAACCAGCCACAACAACAUCAUUUGCGCAUGUGUGGUUAUGAUAUGCGGCAGCCAUUCUAAGGCCGGCAGCUGUAGAUCGAAAACGAGAAAUCUCUGUGGUCAGACAGUUCAAUUUAUUAUAGUUUGUUUGUUUUAUUUUUUAAUUAAUUUUGAAAUAUGUAAAAACAAAAAAUAUAUACCUAAAGUACUUCUAAAAUUCUCUGUAUACAUCCAGCUUAUCUUAUGUGUAUUUGGAUUUUCAUAAUGCCAUUUUUUUUGCUUCCCUUUUUUCAUUUAUAGUCACAACAUAAGAAUAGAUAAUAUCAUAUUAGAGACAUCUUUGAUAAUUACAGGUUAUUUUGUAAGAAUUAUUUAAAUAUUUCAAGUUAUGAGACUCAAAUAUACUACUAAUUAAAUAUUCAAAAUGUUAAGGAACAUAUAGGGUAAAAAUAAAUAUAUAAAUCGCAAAACAAGAUGUAGUAAUUCUUUAAGCUAUAUUUUAUACCUUAAUUGCCAUAUUUUAUAGUCUACGGACCUCUUCAGUUCAUUAAAUAUUUUAGAAAUAAACAAAAAAUAUUAUACUGCAGUUUACCGAUGAAGAUUUUUAUUGAAUGUAUUUGGCCAAUUUUGUAUUUAAUUUAUGCAAACAAUUUUUUUCCUGGAAGGUUUUUCUACUAAUUUGAAAUUUUUGCAAAAUAAUAAUUAUGUCUUUAAUGCCCCUAUUGGCUCAACGAUAAGUCUGAGAGCUUAUAACGUUCAAAACAGAGUAUCAAUAUCCACGGUGGGCAGAUUGCGUAGCUUUGCGCUUAAAACAGUUCGUUUUUGUUUGUUUGUUUUUUCAGCUCGUAAACUUG